RNAcentral lists this ribosomal RNA (386 nucleotides) under Streptococcus gordonii. RNAcentral describes it as "bacterial SSU rRNA". It matches the Rfam family "Bacterial small subunit ribosomal RNA", at positions 28 to 395 of the family's 1533-position model. The record is from RNAcentral. Lineage: Bacteria; Bacillati; Bacillota; Bacilli; Lactobacillales; Streptococcaceae.
GACGAACGCUGGCGGCGUGCCUAAUACAUGCAAGUAGAACGCACAGUUUAUACCGUAGCUUGCUACACCAUAGACUGUGAGUUGCGAACGGGUGAGUAACGCGUAGGUAACCUGCCUGGUAGCGGGGGAUAACUAUUGGAAACGAUAGCUAAUACCGCAUAAUAUUAAUUAUUGCAUGAUAAUUGAUUGAAAGGUGCAAUUGCACCACUACCAGAUGGACCUGCGUUGUAUUAGCUAGUAGGUGAGGUAACGGCUCACCUAGGCGACGAUACAUAGCCGACCUGAGAGGGUGAUCGGCCACACUGGGACUGAGACACGGCCCCAGACUCCUACGGGAGGCAGCAGUAGGGAAUCUUCGGCAAUGGACGAAAGUCUGACCGAGCAAA